Molecule: long non-coding RNA, 1257 nt
Organism: Pezoporus flaviventris
Lineage: Eukaryota; Metazoa; Chordata; Aves; Psittaciformes; Psittacidae
Exons: 3
Source: RefSeq, a predicted model, not a curated record
UUUCCUUAGUGACCAAGGGAUGUGUUCCAGCAGGUAAAAUUGUGGUUCCUUUAGAAACUAGACACAAGAUUAAAUGUAUUGUAAAAUACAUGCCAAGCCAUACAGCAGCUGAGACUCACAAGGUAGGCUGUGCAAAUGUUGUGAUGCAUUUUGCCAAAACCAGCACAGAAACUGCAGACAGGAGAAGUGUAAAUGGCUGAAGGUUAACCCAGGACAACAGGGCACUACAGGGCUGCUCACAAGUGGAAUCGUCUACGUGCUGCCAUGGAAACAGCAGCCUUGGUCCCCAGCACAGCUUGCAGCCAUCUGCAAGGGAACAAUUGUUGGCCUGUUUGUUUAAAACCAUCCGGGGUGGUGCUGGGCGGUGUGUGGCUGGCCAAGGGGAAGCCACAUGGGACAUGACAGGACGUGCUUGUCACACUGAAUAACGCAGCAGACAAAUGCCCACAGAUGGGAUCGGCAGUGUCCUGUCUGGAGAAGCGCUGAUGUGCAAAACUGGUGUGAAUCACGUUGGUUGAAUGACUGUUUGAGACCCAGGAACUGCAGCACAUGGCUUGUGAUGCUCACAAGCAUUCACCCUGAUGGGUUUCGGUUCGUGUGGACCCCGGCAAGCAGAGGUCUGUGCAUGCAAAGUCUGUGAGAGGCCACAGUGUGGGAGCACUGAGCAGGCUGCUGCUUCCGAGGAGCUGGAUUUUGACUGCUCCGGUGGGAAACGGAGCCAGGUUAACUUUCUGCACGCGAACAGUUUGACUGAACACACCAGGCUUCCUGGCAUGAAACCGGUGCAGAGGACUGAGCAUCAGCCAGCAUUUGCCAAAACUGCUGGGAAACCAGCUCCUGGCUUUACUCAGCCAUGUGCUGGGCUUCAAAUCUGUGAAGAAGAGGUUCUGUUUGCAGGCAGUUGCCCUACCUGAAGAGAUGCACAUAGAAAAGAAACGCACAUGGGAAAUGGCAGAGAAUCUGAUCCACACUAACCUCCUCCCUGCUUGGGUGGGACUAUUAAGCCCAGGUUUGGUCUGCUGGAUCAUGACCUAAAUGUGCUCUGAUGUCGAGUGUGUAUUACUCUGAUCUCAUGCUGAUGCCAUGUGGAAAGUCACUGGAGAGCCCUGCCAGAAGGAGGUGUCCUUCCUCUGCUAGGAAUGGGUGAGGGUACAACCUGCUGGCUGCCAGCUCUGCCCUUUACCCUUCAGAGGUCCUUCAGCACCAUCAGUACCCAGCUGUGAGCUGGCUUGGGUUUCCUCACCCUUGUCAUCUGCC